Molecule: long non-coding RNA, 198 nt
Organism: Nematolebias whitei (Rio pearlfish)
Lineage: Eukaryota; Metazoa; Chordata; Actinopteri; Cyprinodontiformes; Rivulidae
Exons: 3
Source: RefSeq, a predicted model, not a curated record
ACACACACAGCUGCUCAGAGUCAUGACAGAAGAUGACGGAUACAGUUGUCGCAGAGGGCCAAGUCAAGUUUAGAGAUGGAAAAAAGUGGAAGACCCGCUGGGUUGUUCUUCAGAAGCCUUCUCCCGUCGCCGACUGCUUGACUUUGUUGGUGUGGAAAGAGAAGAAGAAAGGGAGACGAGACGGACACAAAGACAGGC